CAUUGACUACCCUAGCUUUCGUCUCUCAGUGUCAGUGUUGGCCCAGCAGAGUGCUUUCGCCGUUGGUGUUCUUCCCGAUAUCUACGCAUUUCACCGCUACACCGGGAAUUCCCUCUGCCCCUACCACACUCAAGCGAAGUAGUUUCGACUGCCGAUAUAAAGUUGAGCUCUACGAUUUAACAGUCGACUUACCAAGCCACCUACAGACGCUUUACGCCCAAUGAUUCCGGAUAACGCUUGCAUCCUCCGUAUUACCGCGGCUGCUGGCACGGAGUUAGCCGAUGCUUAUUCUUCAGAUACCGUCAGAACUUCUUCUCUGAAAAAAGGAGAUUACAACCCACAGGCCUUCAUCCUCCACGCGGCAUUGCUCCGUCAGGCUUUCG
Molecule: ribosomal RNA, 383 nt
Filed under: uncultured cyanobacterium
Lineage: Bacteria; Bacillati; Cyanobacteriota
Description: partial 16S ribosomal RNA
Source: RNAcentral